GGCGAUGUAGCUCAGUUGGCUAGAGCAAGCGGCUCAUAACCGCUGUGUCCGGGGUUCGAUUCCCUGCAUCGCCACCA
This 77-nucleotide transfer RNA is filed under the name Deltaproteobacteria bacterium. RNAcentral describes it as "tRNA-Met". It matches the Rfam family "tRNA". Rfam says of the family: Transfer RNA (tRNA) molecules are approximately 80 nucleotides in length. Their secondary structure includes four short double-helical elements and three loops (D, anti-codon, and T loops). The record is from RNAcentral. Lineage: Bacteria; Pseudomonadati; Myxococcota; Myxococcia.